Long non-coding RNA from Cygnus atratus (black swan), 1098 nucleotides. RefSeq lists it as uncharacterized. The transcript has 3 exons. Lineage: Eukaryota; Metazoa; Chordata; Aves; Anseriformes; Anatidae. The record is from RefSeq and is a predicted model, not a curated record.
GCAAAGGGUUGCUUGUCUGUGUGCCUGAGGCACCUCAUCUCCGGAGGCCAGGCUCUUGAAUAUACAAGGCAGAUCCCAGGUUAAAGUUGCUGGGUCUGCUUGCUGGCUUUAUUUGCUGAUACUGAGCCGGCACUGGAUUUAGAGGGCUAAUACACCAUCCUGCUCACCGAGGAGACGAAACUGCUGUGCAUGUGGCUGUCAUCUAAGCGGUGAAGUGACUACAGCAUCGGUACGGCAGCGGCCAAGGCUUGCCCGCAGUGGUGAAAGAUGUCUCACCCUCCUGCCUGUGUGGGGGCGGCUGCGCUCACUGACGCGUGCCCAUCGUGCUGUGCCGCAGUGGACCAAGACACCUGCCCCAAACAGGAUAUGCAUCCCUGUCCGGAGCAGACUUUUGAGGUGAAUCCCUGCCAAUGCCAGGGUGCAGCCCCGUGCCUGGAUGUGUGCCUUCAGCCAGGUCCUGCCUGCGCACCCCCCACUGUCCCUGUGCCUGGGGACGCCUGCUGCCCCGAGCUGGCACCUGCCUGCAACUCUUGCGCAUCUCCGUGUGUCACCACCUGCGUGUGUCCAGCGGUUGUCCCCUGUGACCUCCAGCAAAGCCAGGGAGGGACCAGCUUCCCGCUGAAGCCCACAGCCUUGCCAAUAGAACCCUGCAGCCCUGAGAUCGUGGGGACAUGCGGGGAGACCUUCCCUCACCAGCAACCUGUGUCACCGAUGGAACCCUGCACCAUCGAAGUGCUUGAGACCAGCAUGGAGACCUUCCCCAUCGGUUGCGCAGCCUUGCCGGUGGAGCCCUGCUGUGCUCAGGCUGCGAUCAGCAGUGAUCCUUGCCCCGAUCAGUGCCCGGUUACACACGUGGAUCCCUGUAUGCCUCUAAACGUGGUUUGUGCAGAGCCGUGCAUGCCCCAGAGCACUGCGGGACCCUGCGCACCCCAGAGCACCGGGGAACCCACGGCCACCGACUCCACCAAGGGCACAAGCAAAGGUGCUGGUGCCUGCCCGUCCCCACGAGCACCUUUCCGCCUCAACACCCGCACCGCGGCCAUCGUGGAGCGGUGCCUGUCCCGGUGUCAGAACUGGCUGCGAGGCAAGAACUGAGUG